UCAAUCAUCUCCGUCAAUGAUAGGCGCCCAUCUUUAUCUGAAUCAGCCUGUGAUAUGAUAUAAUCUGCUUGUUGUUUUGCAUAAUAACGCUCUGAUGGAUGGAGCUUCCCAAUUAUAGGUAGUAACUCGGUGUCAGACAAAUAUCUGUCACCAUCUUUGUCUAGCUGAGCAAACAAAAUCUUAGCUGGGGCCUCCAUUGAAUCAUCAGAGAUAUGUGAAGAAUUUUGACUUUCCUCGUCAUAAUUUCUCACCAGGUCAAAUAGCCCAUGGAAGAAUU
This 277-nucleotide unclassified non-coding RNA is filed under the name Hevea brasiliensis (rubber tree). The record is from RNAcentral. Lineage: Eukaryota; Viridiplantae; Streptophyta; Magnoliopsida; Malpighiales; Euphorbiaceae.